This is a small nucleolar RNA of Callithrix jacchus (white-tufted-ear marmoset), 68 nucleotides long. The record is from Ensembl. Lineage: Eukaryota; Metazoa; Chordata; Mammalia; Primates; Cebidae.
GGGGCGGUGAUGAUUCCAACAUGCCAUCUGAGUAUCGGUGCUGAAAUCCAGAGGCUGUUUCUGAGCUA